Molecule: non-coding RNA, 142 nt
Filed under: Nomascus leucogenys (northern white-cheeked gibbon)
Lineage: Eukaryota; Metazoa; Chordata; Mammalia; Primates; Hylobatidae
Source: Rfam by way of RNAcentral
GCCGGACGUGGUGGCGUGCCCCUGUAAUCCCAGCUACUCAGGAGGCUGAGGCGGGAGAAUUGCUUGAACUCAGGAGGCCGAGGUUGCAGUGAGUCACACCACUGCACUCUAGCCUGGGUGACAGAGUGAGACUCCGUCUCAA